CCAGUUCUAAAAGCAUGUUUCUAAGGAAUCAAUAUUAAGUUUCUAAGGAGGAAUUGCUGGAAAUAUAGUAGAGUUAACAAGCUGAAGGGUCGACAUUUUGUUCAAAAUCAUUUCGGGGUUCAUUUUGUUCAAAAUCAUUCGGGUUUAUUUCGAGGUCUAUUCGGGUUUAUUCUGGGUUGUUUCAAGGUUUCUUUGUGUUCGUUUCAAGUUUUGUUAAAAAAUUGUAAUCAUCCGUUGGAGGAUGCGCUAGAAACACUUUACAAGGCUAACUUUUGGUCGUUAUUAUACUCCUUGGGGAUAAGGAAACUAAGGUACAUCAAC
Long non-coding RNA from Erigeron canadensis, 321 nucleotides. RefSeq lists it as uncharacterized. Lineage: Eukaryota; Viridiplantae; Streptophyta; Magnoliopsida; Asterales; Asteraceae. The record is from RefSeq and is a predicted model, not a curated record. The transcript is spliced from 3 exons.